RNAcentral lists this unclassified non-coding RNA (432 nucleotides) under Hevea brasiliensis (rubber tree). Lineage: Eukaryota; Viridiplantae; Streptophyta; Magnoliopsida; Malpighiales; Euphorbiaceae. The record is from RNAcentral.
AGGUGUUACCUUAACACGUACGCCUUUAGGUGAAGAGAUGUGAAGAGAGUAGACUGAGUUGGGCUUGCCAACGUUUGUAAUUGUUCUUGAAUAUAUCUGUGGAGUAGAUCCCAAUUCGAUAGAAAAUGAAGGGUAAUUCAGCUGAGCUUCAGGAAUGCUUGAAUCAUUUGAGCACUUCACUUUGCGCUUCACUAUAAGCCCUACAUGUUUGUCAGAAUAACCAAGACCACAUAAGUAAGGAACGUAAUCAUCAGGUUUGAGGUCAUAAAUAAGCCCUGGAUCACUUGCUCUUGAUGGGUUCACAUGGCCUGCACCGAUGUCAAAGACAAUAGCCGGACGAUACUUUCUUUGUUCAGGAAUAGGCUUGCCUGCAUGGUUGUACAAAGAAGCAGUGGUCAUGAUGGCAGAUUUUAUAGCAGCAGGUGACCAAUU